This 7018-nucleotide long non-coding RNA is filed under the name Ananas comosus (pineapple). RNAcentral's name for it is "long non-coding RNA (ACOM_LNC019718)". Lineage: Eukaryota; Viridiplantae; Streptophyta; Magnoliopsida; Poales; Bromeliaceae. The record is from RNAcentral.
UUUACAUAUUAUGCUCGUCAUGCAUUCUAACAUUUUUACAUCACGUUAUAUGCAUCUACUUAGCAUUUUACAUUAUGUCAUUGACAUGCAUUCUUCACAACAUGCUCACAUGCAUUCUCUUUAGCAUUUACUACAUGCAUCCAUCUAGCAUUUACAUGCAUCAAUAUGAAACCACAUUACUCUUAGACAUAGAGGCGACCUAGUCGCUUCGGUAAACACAACCCAUCUCAAAACGCUUUCCGAUUGCUUGUAGUCACUUGCAAUCGGCCUCCCGCGGCACCCGUGACCCGGUUUGGUCCGAACUCUCGCGCCACCACCCGAACGGCCACCAAUUCACGAUCCGAAAAUUAAAGGUAUAUAACUUGAUGUCAAGAUACUCCGGAUCCGUUCUCGUAAUUUUUGGACGACACCUCAGCCCUCCAGGCGAAAAUGAAGCUUUAACGGUCUGUUUCUUCAAUAGCUUCGCGUAGGCUCGACGAAUCGCCGAAGCGACUUCACCAAUGCGUUCGUAUACAUAACAAUUAGGUUUGUAUAGGGCUAAUUUACAUUUAAACCUACCCAUGAUAAAAGCCCAAUUUUGGUGCCCAAAUAAUGUCAUUUUGCCAUUUUUCCUAGAUUGAUCUCAUCCCUAAACAAAUAUUAGCCUAGAAUCAUCUAGGAAGCUCUCUAAUACCAUUACUAAGCCAUUUGGACCAACCCUAGGGCAUCUGACACAACCCUAGGUGAUCACCAUAAGAGCACCUUGAGAAAACCAUAAUUUUUAUGGUGUUCAAGGCUCAACUUUGCUUCUAAACAUGAGAGAAGUUCCAAAACCUCAAGUUCCAUAGAGGAAAUCCAAGCCCUAGAUGGGCUUUACACUAAAACUCACCUUAGGUCAAGCUCCUCCCAAGUUCCACCUUAAUAGAGAGCUUCCAAGCUUCCAAAACCCUAGAUCCUUCAAUUUUCUCCCCCAAAUCCACCUCUAAUAGCCUUGGUGGAGAGCUUCUAGAGAGAGAGAGGGAGAGAAAAUGAGAGAAAUGAGAAGGAAAGGGGCUGCUAUGAAAGGGGAGAAGUGUUUGCCUUUUUAUAGUGUGCUAUAAUUGCAACUAGGCCCCCCAAAACAAUAUUAUUUGCAGCAGACUAAAUCUGUGUUGUCAGCCCAAAGUGUACCGGUACACUUUCAUUUGUCACUGGUAACACGAUUACGCAGAGACAAAUCCGAGAGCAGUUUCUCGAUUUCACAGGGUUUGUACCUGUACACUUUCAAAGUGUACCGGUACACUUUCAAAGUGUACCGAUAUACUUUCAUCUGUCACCGGUAACACAAUUACGCAGAGGCAAACCUGAGAGCAGUUUCUCGGUUUCGUAGGGUUUGUACCGGUACACUUCAAAUUUUUCUCAAACCCGAGAGUAAACCCUUCUCGGUCUGUAGGGCUGUAUCGGUGACAACUCAAUGGUUGUACCGAUACACUUUGCCCAGACUGUUUGUUUUGCGCCAUUUCGAUUCUAUUUCGCACCGAACAACGUUAAAACCUUUCCAACUCCUUCUAAACUCACUUUUAAGCCUUCCAGCCUUGUUGGAAUGUUAAAUAGAACUUGUCCAACUGUUUCUUUCGGGCACUUCGGCCAAUUUGGCUAAAGUCUAAUAUUUUUCACCGACGUUUCGGUAUGUUGCAUUCUCCACCCCUUAAAAGAAUUCGUCCGCGAAAUUCAAACCGCACCUCAAUUCGGCCCCUCGAGCAAUUGAGGGUACUAAUGCAUUUCCCACUCUGGUAAGGCUUUUCACUUUUUGAACCAAUUUCAAGGCCUAUUUUGGGGGAUGUGAAACCAAACUCACUCACAUUUGCCACGUAUAACUCUAAAAGCGCAUUACCACCAUGCAAGGGACUACCCUUUGCAUUAUACACCCAAUCGGGGGAUUCACUCCGAUUCGAUCACCGAUAUUGUACAGAAGCAAUAUCGUUGGUGCGCGAGUGCUCCAAUCCCAUCCGGAUCCUUGCUCUAUCACGAGAUGGCACACUCCGGCACAUCUCCAACUUAGUGCAUAAAAGAGCAUCAUCCCUAAGCUCCAACUCUCACGUGGCUUUCACUAGCUCAAUGCCUCACAGGAGCAUCUCAUCCUUUGCCAUCAUACGCCACGGCCAGCUCGACUUCGUUGUCGUAAUCAACUCACGCGAAGACUACGCUCGUGAAUUCUAAUCCCAACUCCUCAACAGAGUUACCGGCCAAGCCACUUUCCUCGGUUUCCACAGGUGGUCCAUAGACCGCCAACCCUACGUAGGCCUACCGCCUAACUUGUCUCGAUACAUGCAACGUCUCUCACUCGUAGGCGCAGACCCAAUCAACAUUUUCGGGCGAAAUUUUUACUUGGGAAUUCGCACACACUCCAACCGGGAGCUAUCAAGACACCAAACCACGUCACAUCCUCAGGUUGGGUCACCACACACUUGGUGCAUCCUCGAUCUCAUGACCCAAUACGUGGCAUUCCACGCACACGGGUCGAAGCUCGGACUACCGUCUUGACCAAAACUCUAUCCUACCCGUAGCUAUCUGGCCGCUGUCACUCACAGCUGAUUGCGCCGGCCCGAAGGGCCUGGGCUCCACAGUCCACAAAUGGUCGAGGCACGGGUUGUCCCAAGCAACACCAGCCGUCGUCGUCCUACACGACACACUCUAUCGAGUCACGUACCACUACCGGCUCCUAAGCACCUAGUGUGAGCCAUCAGCCCCACGAGUGAAGGCUGAAGUGCUACUGCCAACGUACUCCCGGCUGAGUCAAUACCGCACACCACGAGUACCUAUACUCGAGCGCUCUACACGCCUCUAUAGCGUUCCAACUAUAUCAAGCAUUAGGCAACCUUGCCUAUGCAACCAGCCACACGAGCACGACUCACCCACCUCAAUUAGAGGUACUACUAAGCCCACGUGCUUGUGCACGGGAACUAACCGGCUACUCUCUCUCAACGGCGAUUCUACUUUCACCGUCCGAUCUAUCGGAACGACAUCCGAAACACUCAGAUUACUCGGGUAUCCUCAAAUAUAAUGGCCCAACUCUCACAAUAUACUAAUUAUUGCCAUGAGAGUCGCUUCACCACUUCGCGUUCACCACGAGUCUCAUUUCUCGUGCAAGAACCACUAUUAGCCAUUCGCUAGUACCACUUGGCUCUUUACCUGCCCUAGCAGGCGCCACGCUCUCACCGCAUAAGUAUGUUCGGGUAUCUACCUACCUGCCCUAUGGGUCCCUACUAUGCAAUGCAUAAUUAGUAGCAACUAACCAUUCGAUAAAAUGCAUGCUAUGCACCGAUUUUAACAUCAUGCAGAAGCAUAUGCUUGCUUUAACUAACUCAUACCUGCCAUGACAUCGUCAGCAGCGACAGGCUCCACCACUCGGGUCGCGUAUCCAUGGCCAUUUGGCACUCGCUGCGAACCCACCGGUUGCAUCGUCUUCAACGGCCGCUCUCCUGACCAUGCCGCAGGUGGCAUACCUGCAGGCUGUCCCUGAGAGGAAUAGGUCGUCGCCAGCAUCAAGGCCCGGCCGUCACCUUGCGGACACUCGUCCCGCAAAUGACCCGGCAGCCCGCACUUGAAACACUUGCCCUCUCGCUGCUCACACUGUUGUGGGAAAUGAAGGCCCCCACAAAUGACACAUCUCGCCGAGGACCGAAUGUGGUAUGUCCCCGGAGCUCGGGAUUGAGAGCGUGAACUCAUCGAGGUCUGUUGGAAACUAGAGCGACCACCGGAUCCACUCCCUGGUCGUCCUUUCUCUUUUUCCCUGUAGUACGCCUCGCGCUCCUCCCGUAUAAAUGCGUUGUCUUGUUCUAUCCACAAGGCCCGAUCCAGGACUUCAGCAAAAGUCUGUAACUUAAGUAUGAGCACCGCCUUAUAAAGGUCUGGCCGAAGUCCACGCACAAAGCAGUUGGCCUUAUCCUUGUCAUCCCGUACCACGUUCGGGAUACAAUGCACAAUACGGGAGAAUUUUCGCUCAUAUUGCCUGAUCGAGCGGUCUCCUUGACGCAGCUUCCGGAACCUUUCUUGAAGCUUCCUUUUCUCGCUGUCGGAGAAAUAAGCAGAGAAUAGCAUUCCCCGAAACUCUUCCCAAGCCAUAGGAGGGAGACUAGGCAAUCGAUCUCACUUAACGCCAUUCCACCACACCUUCACCGACUAUUUCAAGUAGUGCACGGCUAGGUUUACCUUGUCCCGCUCCACCGUGUACAUAUCCUCGAAGAGUGUUUCCAUGGAAUCAAUCCACAUCUCCACGAUCCACGGAUCUGUAUCCUCUCCAUCGAAGGUAGGCAGAUCAAACUUUUUGAAAGCCAUGAGGGCCGCCAAAGCUCGCUCCCUCUCCGCCUCCACCUCUGAACCGAUAGGAGUAAGAUCACCCGACCCCGACGGAAACAUCUCCGCCGCAACUCCCGGCUAGUCUCGACGAGCCGCAGCUGGUGCUGCCACCAGCUGAUCCACCAUUUCUUGGACUCUUUUCAUUCGCUCCUCAUGGCGCAUUGCAGCCUCCUCCUAACGCUGCACCACUUCAACCUGUUGCCUCAUCACUCCUACGAGUGUGGCCAACUGAUCAUGAAGCUCUGAGUCUCCGCUCGUGUCGGUUUGCUCAGGGACACCACUUGUCCCCUCCCGCGCCGAUCCGGACGAAGAUCGCCAACGCGGUGCCAUCGUUUCUUGAAACACGACAACUCUAUUAGUUCUCGACCAUCUUGGGUCGAAUACAAGACCACUAACACCGGCUCAAAAGCCAAUCAGGCGAAAGUCACGCAAGGGUGUCUAUUCUCAUCACUAGGUUUCAUGUUGUCGUACGCCAACAUAAACAUCCUCAGCUGAGAAUAAACCACACCUCGAGUCUACCUCUAAUAUCCGUCUUAGAGGUUUACAACACAACCCAAUCCAUUAACCUUUCGCCACAAUUCACAAGUCCCCGUCUCUCACGAGCCUUAUCCUCUAUGGUUUAUACUAUCCUAGGGUCUCCUAGGUCUGUCUAAAUCAUUCACAUUCUCUACUUUAUGUCCUAAUACCAUCUUAUCUGUCACGCCCCGUGUCCCGCCUAUUUGGUCGGGUUCGGGCACGCCAACAGACCGCCGAACGGACAGGGUUUCCUCUAUACCGCUGACAGAGUCUCCCCUGUACGUCCAAGGCGUCGCAAUCAAUACAAUGCACGAAGUUCCAACCAAAAACACAUUUCAAUCAAAGAUUGCAUAAGAAAGUAUUAAAAAUAUAAAACAACUAAAUUAUUACAACAUUCAUCUUUAGGUGCAUUUUACAUCACAAUUACUAUUAUAUUUUUCCAACUUCCGAAUACAAUCCAAGUUACAAUAAUUUAUUACAAGUUUAAUCCAUUCAUCUUGUUCUUUUCAUUUUCCUCUACCCCUAGGCUAUGCCGACUCGGGGUACUGCUAUCCCUAGUUUCUGGGUAGGGCGCUAUCUACGGAGCUACGCCCUUGCCUCGCGCCGCCGCGCCGCUCAUAUGCGAACCUGUAACACCCCAAAACAACGUGGGGUGAGAACCAACUCCAUGGUUCCCAAUAGGUACAGCCACCCAAGAAAAAAGCUCGACCAAUAGGUCCAAAGAGGCACUGCAAUCAUGUUAGUCCAAAAACAUCUACAAAUAUAUAUCAUCAUGUUAUUAUGCAACUAACAGAUAACAUGCCUCACAAAAUGCAAUAUGAACAUUAUGCAAAUCCUAUAACUCAUGCAAGUAGAUAAAUUGGUUCUACUUCAUAUUCUUAGCCAUUCUUUACUUGUAGUCGUUCUUUACUUUAUUAGCUAUUCUUAUUCAUUAGCCGUUCUUUACUUUAUUUCCUUGUCACACUAUACUCAUUGGCGAUUCUUUCCUAAGAUUACCUUUACCUUAGCCAUCUAUGCCACUUGACUCAGUCUUGAGUCCAUCAACUGCGGAUAAUCCGCGCUCUGUUCAGCUCGAGGUGAAGGAACUCUCACAUGCACCUCAGCCAACCACAGCCCACCGCGCUCUAUGAUUUAGCCACCCAGCGACGCCAUCGUCGCACACGCCUCGACAAUGGCUCAAGUCAACCGGCGGUAUAAUCCACAAACCGGCUUAACCAUCCGGCGGCGAAAUCGUCGCACACGCCACGUUAAUGGUUUAGCCCCAGGCAGCGAAAUCGUCGCACACGCCACACACCACGCUCGAUGUGAUCCAUAAGCUCUGGGAUUCCGGAAUCCAUUUCACAUAACUCAAGGAUUGGUCUUAACCCUAUAGUGCCGACCUAUCUAGGUCCAAUGUUCUUUCCACCCUAGGUCCACUUGACUCUAGGCUUGAUGCUUUAUCACAUAACCUAGGUUUACUUUAGCUCUAGGUUUAUCCCACAAUCUAUGCUCUUUAACACUAGGUUCAUAUUCAUUUUUAUCCAUCUUAGGUUCAUGACACUAGGUUCAUAUUCAACCUAUAUUCCAUAACACAGGUUUGGUGCCACACUUGUCCAACCUAUGUUUAUUAACACUAGGUUACAUGCCACACUUGUUCAACCUAUGUUUAUUAACACUAGCUUACAUGCCACGCUUGUUCAACCUAUAUUUAUUAACACUAGGUUACAUGCCACACUUGUUCAACCUAUAUUUAUUAACACUAGGUCCGAUGCCACUCGAUCUACCUGACAUGCUAGUUGUCCAACCGAGUAUUCUACAGUUCACAUGCAUAUAUAAUCUAGCACAUCCUUAUAAUGCUAAUCAUUUAUGUAUUAUUAUGCACUCUUCUAGCAUCAUAUAAUCAUGCAUUCAUGCAACUUUCUAGCAUUUACAUAUUAUGCUCGUCAUGCAUUCUAACAUUUUUACAUCACGUUAUAUGCAUCUACUUAGCAUUUUACAUUAUGUCAUUGACAUGCAUUCUUCACAACAUGCUCACAUGCAUUCUCUUUAGCAUUUACUACAUGCAUCCAUCUAGCAUUUACAUGCAUCAAUAUGAAACCACAUUACUCUUAGACAUAGAGGCGACCUAGUCGCUUCGGUAAACACAACCCAUCUCAAAACGCUUUCCGAUUGCUUGUAGUCACUUGCAAUCGGCCUCCCGCGGCAC